GAUGAAGAACGCAGCAAGAUGCGAUAAGUAAUGUGAAUUGCAGAAUUCAGUGAAUCAUCGAAUCAUUGAACGCACAUUGCGCCCGCUGGUAUUCCGGCGGGCAUGCCUGUUCGAGCGUCAUUUCAACCCUCAAGCCCCCCGGGUUUGGUGUUGGGGAUCGGCUCUGCCUCACGGCGGUGCCGCCCCCGAAAUACAUUGGCGGUCUCGCUGCAGCCUCCAUUGCGUAGUAGCUAACACCUCGCAACUGGAACGCGGCGCGGCCAUGCCGUAAAACCCCAACUUCUGAAUGUUGACCUCGGAUCAGGUAGGAAUACCCGCUGAACUUAAGCAUAUCAAUAAGCGGAGGA
This 347-nucleotide unclassified non-coding RNA is filed under the name soil metagenome. RNAcentral describes it as "partial contains 5.8S ribosomal RNA, internal transcribed spacer 2, and large subunit ribosomal RNA". The stretch from base 1 to 120 matches the Rfam family "5.8S ribosomal RNA", at positions 35 to 154 of the family's 154-position model. The record is from RNAcentral.